Molecule: long non-coding RNA, 1849 nt
Organism: Ictalurus punctatus (channel catfish)
Lineage: Eukaryota; Metazoa; Chordata; Actinopteri; Siluriformes; Ictaluridae
Exons: 3
Source: RefSeq, a predicted model, not a curated record
UAGUAGUCUAAGCCAAUACGUUUCCUGUUUAAUUACACCUGUAGCCAAUCAGAGAUCACCUUUGUUUGGGGAGUGGAGAAAAGACUUGGAGGGAAUGACACACAGGAGCAGAGCGGGAAAAGAAAAUUGAGUUUAACGCCGAGGUGACUAUGUUUGUAGACUAAAGAACUGUUACAGUAGUGGCACAAAUAUCAUUUUGUUCAACUAAGCGUCAUGAGCAACUUGCAGUUUGGUAACUUUGUGAACCGUAGGUUUAAGUGAAGUGCAGCUAGGUAAUUUGCAUUUGUUGUUUUGCACUAGCUUUAAAAGGGCUAAGUAUAAACUGUAACCCGUGGACGUUUAGCUAAUGUCAUUGUGACAGAUGGACAGCUGUAACUGCCAGCUGCAGUUUUCACUGCGGAACUGUAGGGACAAGGACUGUGGAGAACUGUGCUAAGUAGCACGGUAACUACGCCUGUGUAAGAAGGGACUCUGCAUUGCCAAACCUGCAUCUCUGAAUUGACUAUUGCCUGCUGGAACCUCACUUGCAGCAGAUUCAUUCACUCAGCUCAUUGUUUCCAAUUCAGCUAAUUCUUCUCUUCGAGAGGCAUGUGCAUGGUGAGGAACUGACUCAGCCUGCUACCAUGACAGUCCAGCCAGCCCAGAGUCUCUCCAUCAACUGCAAGGUGGUGUUGGUGGUGUGGGGCUCACUCAGUCAGCCUCUGUGCCCGUGAAACCUGGAGAGUCAUUCUCUAUCUCUUGUAAGAUCUCAGCGUCAAGCUAUUGUAUUAGCUGGAUACGCAACCUGCUGGGAAAGCACUGGAAUGGCUCGGAUAUCUGUGUAGCAGUGGUAGCACUAAUCUCAAAGACACGAUGAAGAGCAAGAUCAGUUUCAGCCAGGACACAUCCAUCAGCACAAUUUAUUGAAGAGGACAAAACUUUCAGACUGAGGACAUGGCUGUGUAUUACUGUGCAAGACACACAGCACUACAAACUCAUUGCAGCCCUGUACAGAAAUAUCCCAUUUAUUUUCCUCUCUCUGCAGUACACUUGUCUCCAGGGACACCUGGUAUAAAUGAGUUAGCAGGGUUAAGGUUGAGACCCCUCUGUUUUUCAAAGAUAAAAGUGCAUCAACAUAGUGUUUCAUCUUUGGCCUCAACAUGAAAUUAUUUGUUGUCCUGGGGUGGAUAUACAGUUUCAUCCAUCAUUAAUCCAUUCCAAAGCUUUUGUGCCGGUUGUUGAAUCUGAGCUGUGUAAAGUGGAUGUUGGUAUCAGUUAUAGAAGCUCCACACACUCAGCUCUGUACAAAACACACAUCUGCAAGAAGAGAAACAAAGUGAAAUGUUUUUGCACCUAUAGAGGGCAGUAGCUCACUUCUACUAAGGUAAAAUUCAUGAAACUUGCUUUUAAAGAAAACAUUUUCUGUAUGGUGUAUUACAUAUUAGUCCCUCUGGGAUUUAGGGAUUUUGUUAUCUCAGAAAUUAAUGCAAAAUCAAGCAAACUCUGCAAAAUUCAGAGGAGCUUACAAAUGUUCAAAAUUACUUCAGAUUUUCCACAGAUAAUUGCCAAGACGUGUCAUAUGAUGUCAUCACAAUGCACAUUCGACCAAAGCAUUCUUUGAUUCAUGUGCAUCGAACAACUUGGUUAACUUUCACUCACACAAUGAGCACAGUUAUAUACUCAAUGGUUUCAUAGCUUUCUGUUUAUGGAUACACAGUUUAAGUGAAUUGUUUAGUAGUUUCAACUGACUCCACAUUCAGUCUUAUAGAGCCAAUCAUGACCACAGUGUUAAUGAAGCACCUUGGCAGAAUAAAAUGUAAUCUAACCAUACUUGUGAAUCACUAAUAUCAAAUGUACUACAUUUUUCCUU